This is a long non-coding RNA of Homo sapiens (human), 449 nucleotides long. NCBI's taxonomy places the organism in Eukaryota, Metazoa, Chordata, Mammalia, Primates, Hominidae. The record is from Ensembl.
AUGAAGGAUGUUAGAGCCUGGGAUGCUGAGGCACCACAGCACGAGCUAAUUUGUCCAUUCGAGAACCUGCUUCGGCAAUUUUCUUGGCAGCAUUAAUGACAUCAGAUGUAUUUUUCAAUGGGCCUUUGCCUCUGAAACAACAUAUACAACAUAAUUAGAAAUCCACUUAAUGACGGGAAAGAGACCAACCUACCUGCUGUUUUUGGUUUAUUGUCCUCCUCAUACAGAAGAGCGAAUCAUGCUUUACUUAGACCUCACAGGUCCUAAACCAGCAUCAUUUAAAACAUUCGCUAGGUGCUUCUCUGAAAAAGAAUCCGUAAAACUACCAGCAGACUCCCAGACUCAAUGUUCAAUCCCCAGAUGAAAAGCAAUGCACAUUUCAUUGUCCCAACACAAGGUUAAUUUGUGCACUGAAAAGUGUAUACUUCUCUGUCAACUAUAGCACUUGC